This 2453-nucleotide long non-coding RNA is filed under the name Canis lupus familiaris (dog). RNAcentral's name for it is "lncRNA (ENSCAFG00040018863.1)". Lineage: Eukaryota; Metazoa; Chordata; Mammalia; Carnivora; Canidae. The record is from RNAcentral.
CUCGCAAAAGCUGCAAGGAGAGAACGUGCCUUGUGCCUUUCCUUAGCACAAAGGGCAGCCUCAGUGAAACUCUUAGGUUAAGCAGUAAGUCCUGGAAGCCCGAACUACUGUCUAUUUCGAGAGGGCGGUUCAUCUUUUCCAAUACUUGUUUGGGAUUCAGUUACACCACGAUUCAAGUAAUUCCCCUCCUCAAACAGAAAAGGAGGGAAUAAAACCAACUCCAUUGCAAUGGUUUAUCCUCCUCUUCUAUCUUCUGUUAUACAUUAGGGCAUAGAAUGCUCUUUACAUCUCCUUUAACAACCACAAACCUUAAGCCAUGUAGCUGAAAUUAUUGUAUCAACUGGAUACAGUUCCAUAUUGCCUUAAACCUCCUUGUUUUAGACACACUAACAUUUAUGCCAAAUUGCAGAUUAUUCUGCAGCGAUGGAAUUGCAUGUUUGUGUUGUAUAUUUAGUAUGAACUUUUUUUUUCAGAACAUAAUGUUUCUUAGUUAUCAAAAGCAGUUGGAAAAUGUUUGCAAGACUAUGAACAAAGAAAUUCUUCAUGGUGUGGAGCAGAACAUUAUCAACAGAAUAAAAUUAAUGAAAAGGAAAAGGAAAGAGCAUAAUAUACGUGGCUCUGAAAUGUAGUCACUUCUCAAAGUUCCAAGAUAAGCUGGAUAACCAAGAGCUUAUGGGAUGUUUGAAGGCUGACCUAAAGCCAACAGUGAACUCACCAAAAAACUGCAGUAUAUGUAUUGAAAUAUGAUUUCUUAAGGGCCUUAUUCCUAUAAGGAGAUGGAUAAAAUCAUAGUCAACCAGACUGCUUUUUGUGUUUUUUGGAAGAAAGUUCUCGAUAAGCCACCUGGGAGUUGAAGGUGAGACUAUAUAAAAUCAAAGAAGCACAGAACUGUUCUGUUCAGCACAGUAUGAUCAUUGGUUGGUCAAGUCUGUGAACUUUGAUAUGAAUCUGAGUUCUGUUAACUUAUGAAGUCUGUGAAUCUGAUAAUGUCACUCUCCUGAGUCUGUUUCCUUGAGUGGAAAAAGGAGUCAUUAAUAAGAGUGUAUUUCAUUAAGCUUCUGCUGGGAUGAUUAUAAAUAUGGUGCUCAGUAGAUAUUAGUUAUUAUUGUUAAUAGUAAUCAAAAAUUGUUUCAUAUGUCAGUAAUGUUACUGCAGACUCUAAGGGAGCAAGGUCGGUGUAUAUUUAACGUAUAUUUCCCUUAUGCAAGAUAAGAUAGUAUUCCCUAAAAUCUUAUACAGCUUAAUUAUGUUCCACAUCAAAAGGGUCUAUAGCCUAAUAAAUUUUGGAAACCUUUCAUGUUUUGAGACUCACAAGAAACAUUAUUAUAUUAAGGUCUCUGGAAAAAUCAGGCAUUAAAUAAACUUGGAACUUUUACAUAGCUCACUUCUUCCUAAGCAUAUUUGAUCACACAAUGUUUUAUGGAAAACAUACUAAUUGAAUAGUUAGCUUAUUCCAUGCCAAUUUACCUUGGUAUCCCUAUUUUACAAGGGAAGUUAAGUAACUUGUUCAAGGUUACAUACUCCAGAAGUAGAGGGUAGAGGGUUAAGAUUGACAACCAAUUAUUUGGUCUCUGGUGACCACAUGAUUGACUGUUUCACUAACCUAUCCUUAGAUCCUUCCUGGGAUCUAACAUUCAAUGGAAGAUACUUUAGGAAAUGCUGGUUGUGAACAGUAUUUUGUUCAGGCUGGGGUAGUCACAGUGAUCUGUAUAUACCACGUUGUUCACACAUGUAUUCUUUUCCUAACACUGUGUCACUCAUUCUUUUUUUCAUUCUUAAAUUUUAUAACUUAUCUAAGACCCUGGUCAAACCAUGUGUUCUUUUCCACAUAGUCUUCUUUAUAGUUUUAGCCAUGGUGGUCUUACUUCUUCUGAUUUCCUAGACAUUUCACAUCUGUUUCAUUGAGUUCAUGGGCAGAUGUCCUACUAAACUCUGGAUAUGUUGUUUAUGUGAAUGUUGUUUUCUUAACUAGCAUGUAGAUCUUUGUAGAUGGUACUGUUUUAUGCUAGAAAUUCUAACAGCAUAACAAAUGUAUGUUGGUUAGUAUUUUUUAUUUAACAUCUGGAGGUGUUUCAGGUUUACUUGGUAUGAAUCCCACAUUGCUAACACGAAGAAAUGAAUUCCAUUUGCAGUCCUUUUUUUUGUUUUUUUUUUUUUUUUGUUUUUUUUUUUUUUUGUUUUUUUUUCCAUUUGCAGUCCUAAUGAUUACCAUACAAAUUGGAAAUGAUCACCUCUGCAUGUUCAUGUGAGUAAAUAAUUCACAAAUUCAACUAAAAAUAACACUUUUGAAAUUAUAAGUGAUAGCAAAUGAGUAAGCAUAUGAUCUUUAAACUGACAUGACAUAGAAUUAAAUAUAAUCACAAAGAGGAGACUAACAAAAUGUACUUAUUAAAGUCAUAUUUCAUUUCAUUCCCAGUUUGAUUCUUGGGGUGACCUAUUUCUUAGGAGGUUUG